AUGACACCAAAAAGAGAGUUGUGGAAGCUGACUUUCCUUCUUUGCGGAAAAACUUUGCUGGGUUGCUGCUCAGCAUCUUCACGGAUCACCUUCUGCAUCGAGGGAUCGCUGCUGAACCUGCCUAGCAGCAUAGGCGUCACCCUACCGUUUGAUGUGUACUUCCUCGGUGCUAUCACUGAUCUAAACAGGUUUUGUAUUUCUUCAUGGCCUUGUUGCUCGGCUAGAGCUCUUGGGGUCCAGCCGUUACUGUCCUGCUUGUCAAUGUCUGCUCCGUGUCUCAGUAACAACUCAACCAUCUCAACGUUCCCGUCGCAGACAGCACGGUGCAGCGGAAUGUUUCCAUCUUUGGAUGGCCUGUUUACAUCGAUGACAUGCUUGAGUAUCUGCUUGAGCAGUUCUAUAUUGUUUUCCUCAACUGCGAUGCAAGCAUAUAAGCUUGUAUCCCCGGAUGAUAGUUCUGCACCGCCCUUGACUAACAGAUGCACAACCGUAUCAUGUUUCGCAUAUACAGCCUCCCAUAGCGGAACCUUUCCUUCCGAAUCUGGAUGUUGGAAGAAUUAA
Molecule: ribosomal RNA, 561 nt
Filed under: Triticum aestivum (bread wheat)
Lineage: Eukaryota; Viridiplantae; Streptophyta; Magnoliopsida; Poales; Poaceae
Description: partial small subunit ribosomal RNA
Source: RNAcentral